CAGAAGUGAUUGAUAUUUAAAAAUACUAUGUAUUGUCUAUCCGGAAAAAAAUUAUAACGCUUUUUAUACCGAAGUUGGAUUUUUCUCCAGGUACAGGCAACUUUCCCAACUUCGGAAGUAGUGCGCUGGAUUCACAUAAAGAUGCGCUAAACAACGCAUUAAUUAGUUUGACAGAUAAAACUUCGGAAGAAAGUUCGGUUCGGAAGUCCCGACUUCCGAAUUCUAAUUUGGUGCUACGCCGACAAUAUAAACAUUACGGAAGUUGUGCUUCCUUCAAAGUCGGUGAGAUUCGGAAAUGGUUCCUGCCGGAAAACUGGACACGAGACUGGACGUCCGACGAUGAUGGUAGAAUUUUGUUGAGCCGAAAACUUUGUUUUGCAAACAUGAACACUAUCCCGCACAGAGAACCAUGGCUUUGCAACUGGUUCCCGACAAACCAAAACCAUCUUCCCCAGAAAUGUAUCACGAGGGGAAACAUCGAGGGAAACAUACCAUUUGCGGACGGAGAAGGUGGAAGCUGAGAUCGUUUGCAGAAAGCCGGAUGGAUGACGCCGGCUGAAUGGGCCCCAAAGUUGAAUCGAAAUGUUUCGGAAAAUGAUAAUUAACUAAUAAAUUAUUGCCUAUGUUCUAUAAA
Long non-coding RNA from Armigeres subalbatus, 634 nucleotides. RefSeq lists it as uncharacterized. NCBI's taxonomy places the organism in Eukaryota, Metazoa, Arthropoda, Insecta, Diptera, Culicidae. The record is from RefSeq and is a predicted model, not a curated record. The transcript has 2 exons.